GACGAACGCUGGCGGCGUGCUUAACACAUGCAAGUCGAACGGAAAGGCCCUGCUUUUGUGGGGUGCUCGAGUGGCGAACGGGUGAGUAACACGUGAGUAACCUGCCCUUGACUUUGGGAUAACUUCAGGAAACUGGGGCUAAUACCGGAUAGGAGCUCCUGCUGCAUGGUGGGGGUUGGAAAGUUUCGGCGGUUGGGGAUGGACUCGCGGCUUAUCAGCUUGUUGGUGGGGUAGUGGCUUACCAAGGCUUUGACGGGUAGCAGGCCUGGGAGGGUGACCGGCCACAUUGGGACUGGGAUGCGGCACAGACUCCUCCGGGAGGGAGCGGAGGGGAAUAUAGCACAGUGGGCGGAAGCCUAAUGCGGCAACGCCGCGUGCGGGAUGACAGCCUUCGGGUAGUAAACCGCUUUCGCCUGUGACGAAGCGUGAGUGACGGUAAUGGGUAAAGAAGCACCGGCUAACUACGUG
This 468-nucleotide ribosomal RNA is filed under the name uncultured bacterium. Its description in RNAcentral is "partial 16S ribosomal RNA". It matches the Rfam family "Bacterial small subunit ribosomal RNA", at positions 28 to 507 of the family's 1533-position model. The record is from RNAcentral.